UACGGAGGGUGCAAGCGUUAUCCGGAUUCACUGGGUUUAAAGGGUGUGUAGGCGGAUCUUUAAGUCAGUGGUGAAAUCUCCAGGCUCAACCUGGAAACUGCCAUUGAUACUAUUGGUCUUGAAUUCUGUUGAGGUGGGCGGAAUACAUCAUGUAGCGGUGAAAUGCUUAGAUAUGAUGUAGAACACCGAUUGCGAAGGCAGCUCACUAAGCAGCGAUUGACGCUGAGGCACGAAAGCGUGGGGAUCAAACAGG
Molecule: ribosomal RNA, 253 nt
Filed under: uncultured bacterium
Lineage: Bacteria
Description: partial 16S ribosomal RNA
Rfam family: Bacterial small subunit ribosomal RNA
Source: RNAcentral